UACAGAGGGGGCAAGCGUUGUUCGGAAUUACUGGGCGUAAAGGGCUCGUAGGCGGCCAACUAAGUCGGAUGUGAAAUCCCCAGGCUUAACCUGGGAACUGCAUCCGAUACUGGAUGGCUUGAAUUCGGGAGAGGGAUGCAGAAUUCCAGGUGUAGCGGUGAAAUGCGUAGAUAUCUGGAGGAAUACCGGUGGCGAAGGCGGCAUCCUGGACCGAGAUUGACGCUGAUGAGCGAAAGCUAGGGGAGCAAACGGG
This 253-nucleotide ribosomal RNA is filed under the name uncultured bacterium. RNAcentral's name for it is "partial 16S ribosomal RNA". It matches the Rfam family "Bacterial small subunit ribosomal RNA", at positions 524 to 776 of the family's 1533-position model. The record is from RNAcentral.